UAUAGUUCAGUUUACUCAGUAAUCCAAGCAGGGUCAAAUACCGGUAAAUCAGUCCAAAAGGCAAACAAAUCCAGGAAGGGGCAGGCAGAAGAAUCGGAGUCCAGAAACAGGUAGCAGGGUCAAAACGGGCAGGUCAGGAAAACUAAACAGGUCAACUAGACGAUCGCUGGAGAGCUUGGCAGGAAAACACAAGACAAUCUGGCAGGGAACAAGUGGGAGAGACCUGGUAUAUAUCCUCUGAGAGAACUAAUGAGGGAAUGAGAAGCAGGUGAGGAGAUGGGCUGUGGAAACCAGGUGAGGGGAAUAAGUCGAUUGCAGGCAGUGAGGAUGAACCAGGAUCUGAAAUGAUAAGAGAAUUACUGACAAGAUACGCCUUCAGCAAAAACAUGCAGCCAACCAUCAUCGCUAAGAGCAAUCCUAGCCUUAACUUUGGAUGUGCCAGUCAGAUGAGCACCAAUGACAUCGCCCGUGUCAACAAGCUUAACCAAUGUUGAUCUCAACGAUGAGAUGCUUCAACUCCCGGCUUGUCAUGAUUCAACCAGACGCCCAGAUCUGCUUGUACUUUAAGAAUAUUACUUCAAAGCAGGAAUGGGCAACUUUGAGGAUAGGGAGGGCCAUAAAAAGUGUGUCCUCACUACCAGAGGGCCACUUUGCGCCCCCCCCUCACGGAGCUCCGACAGCACCCCCCCCCCCGCGGAGCUGGCGGCCCGCCAGUUGCCCAUCCCUGCUUCAAAGCAACAGAAACACAUUAUUAUUAGUCAUUAUUAGCACAGCCACAGGAAGUCCUUGUCAAGGAAAGAUAAACAUUGCAGGUAUACAUUUAAAAUACAAACUUCAUGAUUUGGUUAUGGUUUUAUUGAGUGGGCUCAAAGGGAGCCCGGAGACAAGGAUUUGAGUUUAAUGAGUGUCAAUGAUGUUGUUGAGAGAAUAAAAUAAAACAAUUUAGCACAGAAACAAUGAUGAAACAAUCAUUUUGAGCAAGUCAAAAGGCUCAAUGUGUUGACCGAUACUGAUCAUUUCAAUGACUUUGUAUUCAUCUUGCCAUGAAGGGACUUUCUUCAAUAAAAAAUCUGCAAAAAUAAAAAUAAGUGAUUUUAUAUUUCCACCAAAAG
RNAcentral lists this long non-coding RNA (1112 nucleotides) under Cottoperca gobio. Its description in RNAcentral is "lncRNA (ENSCGOG00000019499.1)". Lineage: Eukaryota; Metazoa; Chordata; Actinopteri; Perciformes; Bovichtidae. The record is from RNAcentral.